GUGCUCACUUUCACAGCACAUAGACUAAAACUGGAACAAAUAUAGAGAAGAUGAGCAUGGCUCCAGACCAAGGAUGACAUGCAAAUUCACAAAGUGUUACAUAUAUUU
Ailuropoda melanoleuca (giant panda) is the source of this 108-nucleotide small nuclear RNA. NCBI's taxonomy places the organism in Eukaryota, Metazoa, Chordata, Mammalia, Carnivora, Ursidae. The record is from Ensembl.